CAAAACCUCACAAAUGAAUAAAAACCUGAGGAACAACAGACUCCUUCACAUGCCGUGCCUUGAUUUGGACUACAUAGGCCAAAGGUUUUGACUGCUCAUCAUUCAUCAUUUUGUCUCUCGCUGUCGUUCUCUAAAACCUAAACGAGAAUUAUGGAUUUGAUCAACUGGUCUCUGAAUGCUAUUGACACCCUCUUCUCAACGAGAAGUCUGGGCUUGGGAGAGCCUGAGUGCCCUGGAGGGACUUUCCCUGCCGGAUACACGAUGGACGGGUGGCAGACAUGGAGGGUCGUGUGCCUGGCGGGACUGUCGAUCGAGGACGCUGAAGAUAUCUAUCUAUUCGGAACCGUGAUAACAGGGUUCUUGCUGAUCGGAGUUGGCUUAGCCCUGGUUUAUCGGAGAAAUAAGAGAGCGGAACCGGCUGUUCAAACCCCCCCAUGGCUGCCCGCUGGAAUCAAAGCGAUGGUACGAGGCACGACCUCUCACAACGAACGCCGCAUGGUUAACACCUUGGAGACGCUUACAGCUGCUGUGAAGGCUCAAAAUAACACCAUUGAGCGUAUGAGGGGAUACAUCAGAGAGAGGCCUGCUCAAAAUGAGACCCUUGAGCGACAGUUGGAACACAUCGCGGAACGGAUCACUGCAGUUGUGAGGUCUCAGAAUCAAAAGAAUGACAACACCACGGAACGGAAGUUUGAUACCAUCAUGGGGAGGCUCGCGGCUCUCCAACGGGAGAUUGAGAGACCAGCGUCAGAGUGUUAAAGAGCAGCCUGAAAAUUCUCCUGGGCUGCUCGCAUGGAAAUUUACAAAAUCAAUAUCGAAAUUGCGGACCCCCAUCACGGCGCCAGCUGCAGGCCCAAGGCUGGAGCCGAACAAUCACUCCCUGAUAAUGACUGUGUUAUGGCUGUUCUUCCCAUCCCAUGCAAGGACACCUGGAUUGGCUGGAGGACUGUUUACUUAGCCUGAUAGGGUGAAGGACACUGUCUCAGCUGAACUAUGGACACGCACACACACACACUUACACUGAUAAGCACUCACUCAUCCCCCUUCCCCUUCCAACACCUUCGAUGCUUACCUGUCCCAUGAUGUGGACGUCGGGUCAGCUGGCGGCGCAGUCGAAAGAUUGCAGCAGUUCCCAGAUCAGAUGUACACACUGUGUUUAUUGUGUUAUGAUAUCCCCUACCCAACCCUGUGGCUUGUCAUGUCUUUCACUAUGUGGUGAUGUGUCCAUUCUUAUGGUCUUUUAUUUGGUGCAGAGGAGUUUUUUUUGUUUCCUGCUCUCGUGCUGUCCUGCAAUGGAAGCGCAGCAUGAGUGGGGGUCUCUUUUUUUCCUCUUGUACCAUCCCGUUGUUGUGUAUAUUUCAGUGUUUUUUUUCCUUCUGUAACGCUGCCAAUCUCCGACUUGUAACCCCAUGUGAUGUCUGUGUUAUGUGUGUAAUGUCGGGGGGGGGGUCCCAUUUUCGCUGCAGGGCAACCUGCUUGCGACAAAUAAAGCUUGAUGAUACUGAUACUGAUACUGAAUUGGACCCAAUGGUACUGGCCAGUCAGCACAAGGCCCACUAGAGUCUGUUUCUUAGUCAGAGAGUGUAGGUCACUGUCGGUCAUUUUCUUGGUCUCUACCAGUACUUAACCUGUUCCUCUUUGAACAAAGGUGCAGAUACCAGUAAUUCAGAUAAGUUAAGAGUGUUCUAUGGCCCUCUCCUAGAGAAAUUGUC
Molecule: long non-coding RNA, 1712 nt
Organism: Astatotilapia calliptera (eastern happy)
Lineage: Eukaryota; Metazoa; Chordata; Actinopteri; Cichliformes; Cichlidae
Source: Ensembl